ACUGACAGGACCCCCGUCCUCCUCAGGACAUGCACUUUGGCUUCGGGAAAUAUGGGGCUGGGUCUAUGCUGACAGGAGCCCACAGCUUCAUCAGGACCCACAGUGAGUUUUCUGGGGGAUGUGAGGCCAUGUCUAGGCUGACAGGAGACCCCAGCCUCCUGAGGACUUGCUGUGAGGCUUCCAGAGGAUGUGAGGCAUAGUCCACAGUGACAGGAGACGCGGUGUCCUCUGGACCCACUGACUAUGACACAGGAACACGUGGGGCCAUGUCCGCACUCACAGGAGCCUGGCUUCCUCAGGACCCCCUGGAGGACUCUGGAGGCGCCGUUGGGGGCCACGUCCAUAUCAGAACGGACUCCUCUGAACCACAGGGGGCCUGGGAUGGAUGGACCUGUUCGAACCCUGAACUUAAAGAGGAAAGACCUUCAUUUUCUUGGCCUCCUUGUGUCCCCUCCCAUCCUAUCUAGCUCUUUCCCCCUUCCCCGGAGCUCCUGAGAGAGCAAUUGCAAAUUACCUCAGCUUGGCAGGGUCUGUUGGGGGACAGGCCCAGGGAUUUGGUAUCAGGAAGACCUGGGGUGCGGGCAUACCGGCUGUGCAUCAGGAUUUGAUGCUGCAGACUCAUUCCCUAAGGCUAUCUUGACAACUGACUUUAUACAUAGAAAAGCUCUCCUUUAUCUUUAAAAGAUGAAGAGCCAGUCAAAGCCUUUUUUCUCUGCCCAUCUGAUUGCUCAGAUUCCAAUGUGAGACGUAUUUCCUGUUAAUAAGGAUAAUUUACUAUCCGUAGUACUAUGGUUAAAAUAUUCUGACACAAGUAAUUCAGAGGGAUGAGGGUUUCUCAUCUCUUUCUUCACAGCUCAGUCACUCCUCAGGAAAUGCAUCGUUAUGGAUUUGGAAAUAACUGAGAGACAUUAUUACCAAUGGUCCUAUUAUUAUGUGAAGGAUCCUUCCCUGAGAUUCUUCCCCUGUUUCAACUGACACUGAAACACUUUGAACUCUUUGGAAGACAAAUGUCAAGGAAAUAAAUGUUAUGCAUUGCUAAUUUUA
Molecule: long non-coding RNA, 1044 nt
Organism: Canis lupus familiaris (dog)
Lineage: Eukaryota; Metazoa; Chordata; Mammalia; Carnivora; Canidae
Exons: 2
Source: RefSeq, a predicted model, not a curated record